This 1209-nucleotide long non-coding RNA is filed under the name Rattus norvegicus (Norway rat). Its description in RNAcentral is "long non-coding RNA NONRATT008418". The record is from RNAcentral. Lineage: Eukaryota; Metazoa; Chordata; Mammalia; Rodentia; Muridae.
CGGCCGCGAGCUCCUCCCUCUCCUCACUAGACCACGCCCCUCCCGGCCUUUCUCGCGAGAGGAUGUCCACCGGCAACAGAAGCCGGCGUGCGUCACGAUUGCCCUCACCCUAGGAGAGUAGAUUAAGGCCGCUCUAGCCCACUCCUUAAUUGUCUAUGGAUAAAAGAGUAAUGACGGAAGCCGCUGAAAUUGUCUCGCUCACGCCUCUCGAUUCAAAGGAAAAAAAAAACCGGGCGUGAUGACUCAUGCUUGUAAUUCCAGCAUUCGGGAGGCUGGACGAUGGCAGGAUCCAAAACAGCCUAGGUUACAUAGCGAGACACCGACUCGAAAAUAAUAAGUAAAUAAAAGAAACUCCGACAGGCGUGCGGCGUCAUCUUUAGUUCGGGCGAGGAAAGCCCAGAAAGCUUAUUUUAACUACACCCUUCUUAGUCAAAGUGAGGGACAGGACAGAAGCGCGGCUUCAGUUUCCCCUCUCCAAAAUGUCCUCUAGGACCGGAAGGAGGUGAGAGUCUGACCACGCCUCUUCCGCUCUGUGAGGCCAGCCAAUUAGAGCAGGCCGUUAAGCUUGCGCAAUGCCUCGUCCGCCCAGCGCUUGCAGCCCUAGCUCGGCGACCUCUUUAGCACCUGUUGCCAUGACUCCUCCUCUGUCUCCCACUCCCGCUCGCAGGGGGCGGGCUGGGGCGGGCUUUUGCUGAGCCUCCACCCCCUCAGCCUUCUCCGGACUCGGCCUCAAAGUGCUUCACCUCUGGCUGGCAGAGCCAGGGAAGGGCGCCCUAGGGCGGAGACGGACACCUAGCGCUGUAGAGGGAAAGUGACGAGCCGCCCUUCAUUGUCAGCCAGGAACGCGGACACAGCGGCGCUCCCACCCAGCUGCAGUGGAUCCUUAGGCCGCCGAGAUGGCAGCUGCCGGCGCCCGAGGCCUGCGGGCCACCUACCACCGACUCAUGGAUAAAGUGGAGUUGUUGCUGCCAAAGAAAUUGAGGCCGCUAUACAACCACCCGGCAGGCCCCAGAACAGUUUUUUUCUGGGCUCCGAUAAUGAAGUGGGGAUUGGUAUGUGCUGGAUUAGCUGACAUGGCCAGACCUGCAGAGAAACUCAGCACAGCUCAAUCCACUGUGCUGAUGGCUACAGGGUUUAUUUGGUCAAGGUAUUCACUUGUAAUUAUUCUCUCUCUCUCUCUCUCUCUCUCUCUCUCUCCCUCCCUCCCAC